CAGCCGCCGCGGGAAUACGGAGGGUGCAAGCGUUAAUCGGAAUUACUGGGCGUAAAGCGUGCGUAGGCGGCUUUUUAAGUCGGAUGUGAAAUCCCUGAGCUUAACUUAGGAAUUGCAUUCGAUACUGGGAAGCUAGAGUAUGGGAGAGGAUGGUAGAAUUCCAGGUGUAGCGGUGAAAUGCGUAGAGAUCUGGAGGAAUACCGAUGGCGAAGGCAGCCAUCUGGCCUAAUACUGACGCUGAGGUACGAAAGCAUGGGGAGCAAACAGGAUUAGAUACCCGAGUAGUCCCUGUCUCUUAUAC
Molecule: ribosomal RNA, 301 nt
Filed under: uncultured bacterium
Lineage: Bacteria
Description: partial 16S ribosomal RNA
Rfam family: Bacterial small subunit ribosomal RNA
Source: RNAcentral